UAAAGCGUGCGCAGGCGGUUAUGUAAGACAGAUGUGAAAUCCCCGGGCUCAACCUGGGAACUGCAUUUGUGACUGCAUGGCUAGAGUACGGUAGAGGGGGAUGGAAUUCCGCGUGUAGCAGUGAAAUGCGUAGAUAUGCGGAGGAACACCGAUGGCGAAGGCAAUCCCCUGGACCUGUACUGACGCUCAUGCACGAAAGCGUGGGGAGCAAACAGGAUUAGAUACCGUGU
Molecule: ribosomal RNA, 230 nt
Filed under: uncultured bacterium
Lineage: Bacteria
Description: partial 16S ribosomal RNA
Rfam family: Bacterial small subunit ribosomal RNA
Source: RNAcentral